This 471-nucleotide ribosomal RNA is filed under the name uncultured bacterium. Its description in RNAcentral is "bacterial SSU rRNA". It matches the Rfam family "Bacterial small subunit ribosomal RNA", at positions 330 to 792 of the family's 1533-position model. The record is from RNAcentral.
CCCAGACUCCUACGGGAGGCAGCAGUGGGGAAUCUUCCGCAAUGGGCGCAAGCCUGACGGAGCAAUGCCGCGUGAACGAAGAAGGUCUUCGGAUUGUAAAGUUCUGUCCUUAUCGAAGAGAGGGUAUAGAGUGAAAAAUGAUAUACUAGGGCGGUAGAUGAGGAGGAAGCCCCGGCUAACUACGUGCCAGCAGCCGCGGUAAUACGUAGGGGGCGAGCGUUGUCCGGAAUCACUGGGCGUAAAGGGCGCGUAGGCGGUAAUAUAAGUCAGAUGUGAAAUCCGGGGGCUCAACCCCCGAACUGCAUUUGAAACUGUUGGUCUUGAGUAUCGGAGAGGCAGGCGGAAUUCCUAGUGUAGCGGUGAAAUGCGUAGAUAUUAGGAGGAACACCAGUGGCGAAGGCGGCCUGCUGGACGACAACUGACGGUGAGGCGCGAAAGCGUGGGGAGCAAACAGGAUUAGAUACCCUUGUA